GGUGUUGUACUUUAAAAAAAAGGUUAAGUUUGCGUCUUAGAAUUAGGUUUUCCUCAAUACCU
This 62-nucleotide transfer RNA is filed under the name Mactra alta. RNAcentral describes it as "tRNA-Ala". Lineage: Eukaryota; Metazoa; Mollusca; Bivalvia; Venerida; Mactridae. The record is from RNAcentral.